AACACUGCGUUUAGAGCAUGUCUUAGGGUUCACAGUCUUGAUCUAUUCCCUUUAUUCGUUGUUUCAUCAUCUUUAAAGUUUCAAACAUCUCAGCCACUACGAUGGUGGCGUCAGUGGUGGUUUGAGUCAGGGAAUGGCUGUGAAACAUGUCAUCUAACUCGUAAUCAUGUCUUGACCUUAUAUCUUCCUCUUCAUCUCGCUUGGAAUCAUUCUUGGAAUUGCCUCUUCAAUUUCAACCUCCGACAACCACUGUAUUCAGUUGUCGUAACCUCUUUCAACGUCUCAGUCGCGAUUUCAACCUCUCCAUGCGUUUGA
Non-coding RNA from Vicia faba (fava bean), 315 nucleotides. NCBI's taxonomy places the organism in Eukaryota, Viridiplantae, Streptophyta, Magnoliopsida, Fabales, Fabaceae. The record is from the annotation of a GenBank genome assembly.